UUCUUGUACGCUGAGAUAGAUCUGACUCGUAGUCGUAACAAGGUAACCGCAAGAGUUGGAACGAGGAGUGGCGGACGGGUGAGUAACACGUGGGUAACCUACCCAUCAGAGGGGGAUAACACUUGGAAACAGGUGCUAAUACCGCAUAACAGUUUAUGCCGCAUGGCAUAAGAGUGAAAGGCGCUUUCGGGUGUCGCUGAUGGAUGGACCCGCGGUGCAUUAGCUAGUUGGUGAGGUAACGGCUCACCAAGGCCACGAUGCAUAGCCGACCUGAGAGGGUGAUCGGCCACACUGGGACUGAGACACGGCCCAGACUCCUACGGGAGGCAGCAGUAGGGAAUCUUCGGCAAUGGACGAAAGUCUGACCGAGCAACGCCGCGUGAGUGAAGAAGGUUUUCGGAUCGUAAAACUCUGUUGUUAGAGAAGAACAAGGACGUUAGUAACUGAACGUCCCCUGACGGUAUCUAACCAGAAAGCCACGGCUAACUACGUGCCAGCAGCCGCGGUAAUACGUAGGUGGCAAGCGUUGUCCGGAUUUAUUGGGCGUAAAGCGAGCGCAGGCGGUUUCUUAAGUCUGAUGUGAAAGCCCCCGGCUCAACCGGGGAGGGUCAUUGGAAACUGGGAGACUUGAGUGCAGAAGAGGAGAGUGGAAUUCCAUGUGUAGCGGUGAAAUGCGUAGAUAUAUGGAGGAACACCAGUGGCGAAGGCGGCUCUCUGGUCUGUAACUGACGCUGAGGCUCGAAAGCGUGGGGAGCAAACAGGAUUAGAUACCCUGGUAGUCCACGCCGUAAACGAUGAGUGCUAAGUGUUGGAGGGUUUCCGCCCUUCAGUGCUGCAGCAAACGCAUUAAGCACUCCGCCUGGGGAGUACGACCGCAGGGUUGAAACUCAAAGGAAUUGACGGGGGCCCGCACAAGCGGUGGAGCAUGUGGUUAAUUCGAAGCAACGCGAAGAACCUUACCAGUCUUGACCAUCCUUUGAACACUUCUAGAGAUAGAGCUUCCCCUUUCGGGACAAAGUGACAGGUAGGUGCCAUGCUUUCGUCAGCUCCAUGUCUGAAAAUGUUUGGUUAAGUCCCGCACGACGCACCCUAUUGCUUAGUUGCCAUCAAUUAAUGGACACUUACAGACUGGCUGGUACAACCGAGAGUGGGAAUAACCUCAAUCCAUCAAGCUGC
RNAcentral lists this ribosomal RNA (1176 nucleotides) under Enterococcus faecalis. Its description in RNAcentral is "bacterial SSU rRNA". It matches the Rfam family "Bacterial small subunit ribosomal RNA", at positions 68 to 1201 of the family's 1533-position model. The record is from RNAcentral. Lineage: Bacteria; Bacillati; Bacillota; Bacilli; Lactobacillales; Enterococcaceae.